UGGCAUUCCAGUCCAGUUUAUCAUCCUGCUGCACUCCCAGGUGGAACCCCUAGGGGCGUGGCCACCCUGACAUCUCUUCUGAGGGCCCACCCUCUGCCAGUUUUGUUCAAGUGGAGAAUACGGAUCCCUCAGAGCAUCACUGGAGUUUGUGGAGUAAAGGUGUGUUGUGCCAGUCUGCACCACCCCCACCUGAUCAAAGCACCGUGAUGUCCCUACAUUGAUGGAUUAAAGGCCAGAAGUCCACAUGACCGUCAUCAUCA
Long non-coding RNA from Polypterus senegalus (gray bichir), 260 nucleotides. RefSeq lists it as uncharacterized. Lineage: Eukaryota; Metazoa; Chordata; Cladistia; Polypteriformes; Polypteridae. The record is from RefSeq and is a predicted model, not a curated record. The transcript has 3 exons.